AGAGUUUGAUCAUGGCUCAGAUUGAACGCUGGCGGAAUGCUUUACACAUGCAAGUCGAACGGCAGCACGGGGGCAACCCUGGUGGCGAGUGGCGAACGGGUGAGUAAUACAUCGGAACGUGCCCAGUCGUGGGGGAUAACGUAGCGAAAGCUACGCUAAUACCGCAUACGAUCUAUGGAUGAAAGCGGGGGACCGUAAGGCCUCGCGCGAUUGGAGCGGCCGAUGGCAGAUUAGGUAGUUGGUGGGGUAAAGGCUCACCAAGCCUGCGAUCUGUAGCUGGUCUGAGAGGACGACCAGCCACACUGGGACUGAGACACGGCCCAGACUCCUACGGGAGGCAGCAGUGGGGAAUUUUGGACAAUGGGCGCAAGCCUGAUCCAGCCAUUCCGCGUGCAGGAUGAAGGCCUUCGGGUUGUAAACUGCUUUUGUACGGAACGAAAAGGCUCUUUCUAAUACAGAGGGCUCAUGACGGUACCGUAAGAAUAAGCACCGGCUAACUACGUGCCAGCAGCCGCGGUAAUACGUAGGGUGCAAGCGUUAAUCGGAAUUACUGGGCGUAAAGCGUGCGCAGGCGGUGAUGUAAGACAGAUGUGAAAUCCCCGGGCUCAACCUGGGAACUGCAUUUGUGACUGCAUCGCUGGAGUGCGGCAGAGGGGGAUGGAAUUCCGCGUGUAGCAGUGAAAUGCGUAGAUAUGCGGAGGAACACCGAUGGCGAAGGCAAUCCCCUGGGCCUGCACUGACGCUCAUGCACGAAAGCGUGGGGAGCAAACAGGAUUAGAUACCCCCGUAGUCC
RNAcentral lists this ribosomal RNA (793 nucleotides) under uncultured Comamonadaceae bacterium. RNAcentral's name for it is "bacterial SSU rRNA". It matches the Rfam family "Bacterial small subunit ribosomal RNA", at positions 8 to 796 of the family's 1533-position model. Lineage: Bacteria; Pseudomonadati; Pseudomonadota; Betaproteobacteria; Burkholderiales; Comamonadaceae. The record is from RNAcentral.